GACGAACGCUGGCGGCGUGCUUAACACAUGCAAGUCGAACGGAAAGGCCUCUUUCGGGGGGUACUCGCGUGGCGAACGGGUGAGUAACACGUGAGUAUCCUGCCCUUGACUUUGGGAUAACUUCUGGAAACUGGGGCUCAUACCGGAUAGGAGCUCCUGCUGCAUGGUGGGGGUUGGAGAGUUUCGGCGGGUUGGGAUGGACUCGCGGCUUAUCAGCUUGUUGGGGGGGUGGUGGCUUACCAAGGCUUUGACGGGUAGGCGGCCUGGGAGGGUGACCGGCCAAAAUGGGGCUUGAGUACGGCCCAGACUCCUACGGGGAGGAAGAGGGGGGAAAAAUGCAAAAAUGGGGGAAGCCCUAAGCAGCAACGCCGGGGGCGGGAAGACGGGCUUCGGGUUGGAAACCGCUUUCGCUCAGGACGAAGCUGUGUGUGACGGUAGUGGGUAAAGAAGCACCGGCUAACUACGUG
This 467-nucleotide ribosomal RNA is filed under the name uncultured bacterium. RNAcentral's name for it is "partial 16S ribosomal RNA". It matches the Rfam family "Bacterial small subunit ribosomal RNA", at positions 28 to 507 of the family's 1533-position model. The record is from RNAcentral.